AUCCCCUCGACUCCAGCUUCUCCGACGUCGGCAAAAUUCUGCACCAACAAUAUGAUCAAUAAAAGAAUAAUUUUUUUUUCAUUCAAAUGUGAUGUGUCCUUGAAUCGUCUAUGAAAUUAAUUUUGAUAUAUAUUCUUAAAGUGUAGAGAAUUAGACACAUGUAUUUAAUUCUUAAAUACUUUCGAUUAUAAGAUCAUCAUGAGGAUGGUGAU
Molecule: long non-coding RNA, 212 nt
Filed under: Elaeis guineensis (African oil palm)
Lineage: Eukaryota; Viridiplantae; Streptophyta; Magnoliopsida; Arecales; Arecaceae
Description: long non-coding RNA (EGUI_LNC066913)
Source: RNAcentral